UCAAGGCCGAAGGAGCCGCGAAGGAGCCCCGGCGGCUCAGGUCUCCCACCCGCGAGAGCUGGGGAAAGGCCUGGAACUGGCUUCACCUGCGCCAGCGGCUUCGAGCUCUCCAUCACCAUAUUUUGGCAGCUGGUGACAUGUCCGUGGGCUUGCUGUUUUGACAGCACCGUAAGGAGUGUAGGUGGCUUGUGAAGAACUUCAAGAAUCCAAAUGGUGUAACUGUGAAGUUCAGGCUUGGAGGACCUGGACAGAGGCCCAAAAUGCAGGAAAUCACAGACACCAGUAAUAACAAGUUGCUUUUCUGCUCUAUUUUUCCUUGGUAUCUUGACCCUUCCUAAGACCUCCGAAGCACCCAAUAGUUUGCUGUGGUUUUGUGGCGCAGAGUUCAAGCAAUACUCAACUACACUAACACUACACUGCUGCACUCAUUGCUUAUGGUAUUUUUAGUUGAUGUAAAUUGUUCCAAAAUGUUCUACCCGAAGUUCAUUCUGAUCCUUCUUUUAUAAGCAUGGAAUUUUCCCAUGAUCUCUAUCUCAGUAAGUGAAACCACUAUCAUCCACUCUAAAAUGCAAACUAAAAAUGUAGCAGUCCUUAGGGGCCUCUCUUAGUCCUCACUCAAAUCUAUCAACCAAGUUCUAUAAUUCUUAACCUCCUAAAUGUGUUUUCAAUUCUAGCUCUCCUCAUAUCCAAAAUAAUGGCCCUUCUUGGAUAAUUUCCUCACUAGAGUCUUCCUGAAUCUACCAAUUCACUCUCAACUAAGAGCUAGAGUGUAUUUCCAUAGUAUUUCACUAUCAAUUAAAAAACUUGCCUCAGAUUUGCACGAUACAAAAGGAUAUGACUCAGUAUUUAACACUGAACUGUACAAAUGUUUUAUAGCCCUACCUGCAUCUUUCAACUUGCACCCCUAUUUUUCUGCACUCCACACAACAGUCCUUUUGAAGCUUCUUUAAUUUGCCAAGAACCUUCCAUGCUAUUUCUUUCACACUAUCGCCUUGGUAACAACUUUUGACUAUCAAUUUCUCACCAUCAUUUCUACACAAACAAUUUAAAUUCUUUCUAUUUUGGGUCACCAGUAGCCUAUGAAACUUUUUCAUGGAAUUUACCACGGCUACAAUUUUACUCAAAUUAUCAUUUGAGUUCUUUAGUAAUUGCUUUGGGCCUUAAUUCAUAUGUGAUAAAAUGUGAGUGAGAUGAUCUGGAUGACAGUGGACCUCAGGAUCAAAUGUAUGAAUGCUUGGUCUCCAGUUUGAGCUGUCUGGGAAGGAUCUGGAAAUGUGUCCUUGCUGCUAAUGCAGCUUAGUGGUUGUAUGCUUGUCUAUGAGGCCCUGGAGUUAAUCCUCAGUAAUAAGUCAAAGACAAAAUGAUCUAUCAAGUCAUGUUAUCAUACUUUACUUCCCGGCUGCUGUGAUAAAACACUGACCAAAACGCAUGUUUGGAAAGGUGGAAAUUUUAGUUUACAGGUUACGGUUCAUUAUUGAGGGAGACCAGGAAACACAAGGCAGGAACUUGAAGCAGAAACCAACAGAGAGACUCUGCUUACUGCUUCCUUCCAGUACCUGCUUGGCUUGCUUUAUUACAUAAUCUGCCCAAGGGCAGGACCACCUAUAAAAGGCUGCUACCAACUCUGACAAUUAGCAGUCCAGAAAAUGCCCCCAGAGUUGCCUACACGCAAGCUAAGGAAGGCAGUCUCUCAAAAUUCCCUUUUCCUAGGUGACCAUAGCUUGUGUCAAGUUAAGAGAAACAAAACCAAAAACCUAACCCAACACACAUGUAAAGAUCAAGAGGAAACAAGCACAUUUUCCUAACUAUAAGAAGCCUAUCCUAAAAGAAUGUACAAUUCCAAAUACUACAUAUAACAUUUGGGAGCAAAGCAAAACUCUGGAAACCAUAAAAGGCCAGGACUAUGAAGAGAGAAGGAUAAACAGGUAGAAUGUCAAAAUUAUUUUUAAAAAAUUGUGUGUGUGGGGGUAUUUUGUCUGCAAGUGUGUAUGUAAGCCUGGUGCCCACUGAGGUUAGCGGAGGCUAUCAGAUCACUGAGAACCGGAGCUAUUGUUGGCUAUAAGCUGAUUUGUGGGUGCUAGGAAUCCAAGCUGGGUCCUCUGGAAGAUCACCCAGGUGUUCUUAACUCCUGGGUCAUCUCUUUGGCACCCAGAGCAUUUUGAAGGUAGGAAAACUACUAGGUAUGCUACUGUAAGGCCAUACGAUACAAAUUUGUCCAAACUCAUAAGCAAUAUAAAGAAUAAACUUUAACCAGUGAUGGUGGUACAUGCCUACAACUCUAGCAUUUAGGAGUUAGAGGCAAGAUCAUCCUUGGUGAAAUAGUGAGAUGGAGACCAACCUGAGCUACAUGAGACUUUGCAUCAAAAAAACUCCAAAACCCUCAACAAAACAAAACCUAUGUGUUAUGCAAUAAUGUGUCACUAGAAAUCACCAGUGAGAACAAAUGUACCAUCCUGGCAGGAAAUACGCCAUGCACAUGCAGGACAGGGAUAUGACAAACAGGAAAUCACUGAACCUCCCCCAAGCCCCCCCCCCCUCGUCUCCCUUUCCCCCUCCUACCCCCCAAUCUAUCUCUCUCUCUCUGUCUCAGAACUGAAAACUAUUCUAAAAUAUAGAGUACUUUGUUGUGUUCUAAGCCAAACCAAUAGUUCUCUUGGCAUUGACCCUGCAACAGAGGCAAGUGACUAGAGCAGAUGUAAGACAACUCAAGUUUCAGAAAUGGUCUAUAUAGCCUCAAUAUUUUUGCCUGUCUGUCUUCAGAAAUUUCAAAACUGAUGUCAGCUAGUCAAUUCCUAUGUAGGAACUUAGGCCAGAUGGAGCACAUAUAUCACUUGGCAUAUAGGAAAAGCAAUGCCUAUCUUACAAUCAAAGCAGGGAAACUGCAGUUAACACACUGUCGAACAGAAAUAUUUGUUCAAAAUUAGAAUUAGCAGCCCCUCCACAGGCCCACGAUGCUUACUAUAGUGCAUCACCACUGAAUCCUCAGUGUCUCCUCACAUGGGACUGGCAUAACACUGGGUGCUUAAAAAUGCCAUUGGGGAAUGAAAUGCCAGGUAUUGUGUAUAACAGUCUCAACACACUGAAGGGGAGGUAAACAGAGCCAGUGUAGGGGACACACAGGGAAGAGGAGGACAAGAGAUUAGUCUUUAGUACUGUUCAAUUUUUAAUUAUUUAUUUGAUGGUUAACUAUUGCCCUAAUUUUCAUAGAUAAGAUUCUGCAUUGGUCACUUAACUUUAUUCUGAGAGAACUUCUAGAUUUUAUUUUUAAAAACUUACAUUACUAAAUUCAGUAAGAAAUAUUCAGCUCUUUGCCACAGGUAAAUAUAAUUGCUUUCUAUUAUUUAAUUCUCAAAUUUAAAAUAUAUAACACAAUUUUAAAGGUCCAUCUCUGUGUAGUAUAUCAGGAUUAGUAAGGUUAGAAAUGAAAAUGUGUUUAUUUCUAGAGGAACAGUAGAAAGGGAAACUAUAGUAUUUUAUAUAUUUCUACAGAAAUAGGAUGUCUCUGUAUAGCCCUGGCUGGCCUUAAAGUCACAGAGAUCCACCUCCCUCUGCCUCCUGAGUGCUGGGAUUAAAGACUUGUUUUACCAUACCCGAGUUUAAGUUUUUAAGCAUGUGUUGUUCAUGUCAUUAUCACAUUUUAAAAACAUUUUUAUUAUUUGUGUGUGAGUGUGUGUGUGUGUGUGUGUGUGUGCGCGCGCGCGCGUAGGUAUGUUUGAAAGUCAGAAGACAGUGCUGUGAAGUCAGCUCUCCCUCUACACUUACAGUUUCUGGGGGCUUGAGCUCAGGUCGCCAGGCCUCCAUGGCAAGAGCUGUAACUGCUGAGCCUGUCACAGUGUAAUCCCAGUAUGGUUUCUGCUCUCUUCUUUAUAGGAGAGUGACUCCAUAAAGACAAGGACCAUGGGUACUUGUAUACACCCACAUACUCUUGGCAACUAUUACAAUAGAAGACGACAGUGAAUGUUGAAUAGACACAUAACUUCUCUAUAUUCUUUGUAUGCUGAGUUGAACAGGCACCACUUAAAACCUAACAUUUUUAUAAAGGGAAGGCAGAAAAGCAUACACAAGAUUUCUAUUAAAACAUGCAGUGAAAAUGGAAUCUUGGCAGUUAACGGAAUAACCUCUAGCUAUCUGUAAAAAUGGACCAUCUGUUCUUAGUUGCUUCCCAGAGUUCAGAACAGUCGCGCUAUAACUAGAUCAAAAAAACUCAUCAGAAAAAUGAAUCCUAGAGAAUCCUAAAUUCUAACUUAAGAGCCUAAAAGUUUCCUCAGAAAGAGCAAUGGCUCUGUUGAGAGCCUCAAGGAGAAGCUGGAGGAAGCCCAACUAAGUGGCUUUUUCUCCGCACUAUUUUACCUGUGGAAGGAAGGAAUGACACAUGUGCACGGCAGGCAUUUCCUUGUAGGAGUGGGGGUGAGGCGCUUGAGGGAGAAAGUAAAGCAUACCCGGUUUUCUGUGUAAUGCUAAAAAUAAAUCUAACAAAGCCAAGGGAAAUGACAUAGUUGUAGUAAACAACUGUGUACUCAAAAAGUACUUGGUGUAUUAAUUUAACCCUCAAGAAAAGUUCUCGAAACCUUCCUAUAUUCACUGGCAAUGGUGGCACAUACCUGUAAUCCUGCACUUGGAGGGUAGAAGGGUAAGAGAAUCAGGAGUUUAAGGCCAGCCUCAGCAAAACAUCGUUUGAAGUCAGCCUGGUAGGCAACUUGAGGCUGGUGAGAUGGAUCAAUGGGUAAAGCUACUUCAUAUUGUUGUGGUGACUCAAUCAUAAAAUAAACCAUGCAGGGAAUCCUUGGCUACCCCCGUAGAAAGGUCUUCUGACCCCCAAGGGUUAUAACCCACAGGGUGGGAAACUGUUCCAAGCUCUUGAUUAAAUUAGCCAAAGUCAUUGUCUCAUUGCAUCGUAAGAAUUCUUUAGUCUCUAGUGUUUAGCUGUGGCCUUAUUUUUUAGGCUUUUUAAAAUUACCUAUUCAUCAAGAUCAGAUAGUAGUAAAGACAUUAUAAUAAAAUACCUGAUAAACUUUAAAUGCCAUAUAGCCUUACAAAUUUAAAUGUUUUAAAAGCUGUUUUUUAAUCUAGUUUUUAAUUUUCUAUAAAACUCCAAAAUUUUCUUUAAAGGAGUUUAAAAUCUGUCAAUUGUGUGUUUUUGCAAUAUCAAAACAAAGUCUCUUUUUUAAGAUGCAGAGCAUAACCAUAAUUUUUAGAAGGCAUAACCAAGUUUUAACAGUGUAACAAUUUAGUGUCUCUAAAAUCAAUACCAAGCAGAUUCCUUUGAUGUUAUAAAAUUUGACUAUAGCAAGAAGAUUCUUGUAUAUGUGUGCAUAGAGGCACAGCUUUAAUACAUCAUUAAUCAAGCAUAGUUUUAAAUCUUAUUUUUAUAAACUUAAGGUUUUUAAGACAGGACAGAAAUUAUUUGGCUCUCAUCCUGAUUUAGUAGUGUCUGUGGAGACCUGCUUCCCUGGUCAGCUCAUGCCAUUUGUUGCUGCUCCAGAAUGGCAUGACUUUAAGCUAACAUUUUGUUAUAGAUGUUAUACAUUUUUAACCAUAUCCAAUAAUAUAUAAGCUAAUAACCUAUAAUCUAUACAGAGCACAGUAAACUCAUACAUUCAAGCCAGUCAGAAACAAACAUACAGUGGGCACAUACAAUUAUAUAUUUAAAAUAGACAAACUUUCCUUACUUUCUCCAGCUGCAAUUCCAGGGGACACCUUGCUACUAAACCUAACUGUCACGGGCACUGUGGUUUUGUAGCAGAACUAGCCAUCUUCCUUACCGGAAAAGCUGAGAAGCUACAGGUUCCCCUUUAAGAGCAGCUUGUACAAAUUAGGCAGCCCCUGGCUUGCUGAAUGCUUGACUCAGGCAGGAGGUGGGGCUUCUCCUGUCUCCUAGCUGCUGGCGCAGGGUUCUUUGAGCAGCAUCAGUUUAUCACCUUUGUUGCCCUAAUUCAACCACUUUUUUCUGAAAAUCCUUGAAAUAAGUUAAAAUUAAGUCAAGGGCGAAUGGCCAACAGAUGAAGUUUGGCCCUUUCCUCCAAAUAUGAAACAAAGAGCAACAAUUAGGCAAUUAAAUGAAACCACAGCCAGAAAAUUAAAGACAUGGACAAACCAGCAUGCCAAGGACAACCAAAAGAGUUGGGAAGGAGAGGGAAGAAAACCAGAUGUCCCACCAAAGUGGGGGCCCAGACCCAGAUCAGGUGGUUCCUCCCGUGGGAACCAAAGAGGAAGCAGCACGUGCACUGGCUCCUCUGACCUUAGGAGCAACACUGUGUCCAGUUUCUUCUUUCUUGGGUUUAACCAAACAGGUGCCAAAGAGAAAACAAAAAACAGGCUUACCUCUGGAGGUUUUAUGCUUCAAACUGAAAUGAUGAUUACAAACCAGAGACCUGGGCAGAAUGACUGGAUUCCUGGGCAACAUACCAAAUGUUCUGGGGUCCACUUAAAUCCAACAUAAUUCAAACAUCAGGUAAAUGUAGAUGACAAAAAUAUAUUGUAAUCAAACAACUAUUGAUAGAUAGGGCUGCAGAACAGACUUAGGAGCUGAACUGCUGAAGGACAUUGCAUAGCAUAUUCAGGGGAUUAAACCAUAAAGCGAGGGGGUGUAGGAUGGGCUCUAGCAUUGUCCAGUCAUACUUUGACAUAAGGGGUUGAGUAAGGAAGUUUUCAUCAAUCAGAGUAAGGAAGUUUUCAUCAAUCAGGAUAGAGUAGGUUCCUGGUUCUGGGAACAUGAACUUAGCUUGACUCUAUCCAAAAAAUUCAGAAGUUGUCCUUGAGAUGUCUGGACUUAGACAACUGUUCCUUAUAAACUGUCUCCGAGAUGUCUGGAUUUGGAUAACUGUUUCCUUAUAAUGGUUCAGUUAUUGGGAAGUCUCCAGCUCCUCUAGGACUUGGGACCUUGAACUUAGUUUCUCCCUAAAUUCUCCCACCUGUCUAAUCAAAUGAAGUCUAAAAGCAAAAUGGUAGUACUUAGAAUAAGUUUCUUUUACUUGUUCCUACUAUACCAUGCCUGACAACCUAAGAUUGAUCCCAAAACCCAUAUAGUAGGAGAGAACUGACCAAACAUACACACACACACACACACACACACACACACACACACAGUACAUGUUCCCAAUUAAAUAAAUGUAAUCAAAUGAAUUUUAAGUGAAAGCUUUCUUACUUGGACAGGCACACCUGAAAAUUACUAAAGGACUAGACUAGUUUGCCAGCCAGUAUCUACAGACUCACCUUGUGUGUCUACUCGAGCUUGGCAGCCAGCUGUGUGGUGCUCAGCCUCUGCCAUCUCGUUAAAGACUUCCCAGCGACUCUGUGCUUUCUAGCCUUGAUGGAAACUGUUGCCACACCUCACUUUGUAUGCUGGUGUUUUACUUCUGCAUACAAGCUACCAAGCUUUCCUUACCCACUCAGCACGCUCUUAUACGAGCUGUUCUCUCCUUUCUUUCUAGGAGUUUGAGAUCAAUACAAAAAAGGGUAUUCUAAUUUCAUUUCUGUUGCUGUGAUAAAAUACCCUGACAAAAAGCAAUAUACAGGGAAAUGGGGUUUAUUUUGGCUUACAUUUCCAGGUUAUAGUCUAUCAUUAUGGGGAAGUUAAAGCAGGAACUUCAAACAGCUAGCCAUAUGAUAUCCACAGUCAAGAGCAGGAAGAAAUAAACAUGCCAGCUCUCUGGCUUCCUUGCUUGUGCUCAGCCUGAUAUUUUUCCAUUUAUAUAGAAUUCAAGACUUCCUGUACCUAAGGAAUCUUGCUAUCCACAGUGAGCUAAGUUUCCUCACAUCAAUUAACUUAAUUAAGACAGUCCUUCCAAAACAUGCCCAGACCACUAGAAGAUCAUCCCUCUUUAAGACUCCCUUCCCAGAUGAUUCCAGAUUGUGUCAAAUUGAUAAAAUAACCUUUACAAGGGGUAAUUUAUAAAACUGCAGAACAGCAGCAAGGAAGUUCUAUUUUGUUAUUGACCUAAGGUACAGUGCACACAAACUGCAUAUUUAAGAACAGUUAGGAACCAUUUUUUGAUCCUUAUAAUCACAGAAGCUAUUUGCUAUACAAAAUAUGAUUGAUUUAUUUAAUAUUGUGAGUGUGCAAAAUAUGUUUGAUUUAUUUAAUAUUAUGGGAUGCUGUGUUGUAGUGCAUGUGUGGAGGACAAAGGUCAACUGUGGACUUAGGGUCUCUCCUUGCACCUUUACAUGGGUUCUAGGCAUUGAACUUGGAUCACCAAGCUUGCAUAGUGAGUACCUUUUACCCACUACAACUCUCCAGACUAUAAACAUCUUAUUACCAACUCAUUUCUAACACAGACUUAAAAAAAAUGUAAAGGUCUAUGCUUAAGCAGCUGCCUGAGAAUUUUCAAACUGAGCUCUGAAGCAAUCUCUACAACCAUCUUCUGGAGUUGAGCAUAAUCGACCUAUUUAAAAGGUGAUAUGUAUGUAUGUGUGUGACGGUGUGUGAUGGUGUGUGUAUGUAUGUAUUACAUGUACCCAUGUUUUCACAUGCAUUUGGAGGCCGAGGAGUACAUUCUAUUACUCCAAAUCUUGGUCUCUCAAGACAGUCACUCACUGAAAUGAACUGGUAGGUAGUUGGACAGCAACCCCCAGGGACCUUUGUGUCUCAGCAUCCCCACAACACCGAAGUUACAGGUGUACAGGACUAUGUCCAGCAUUUUCUUUAUGUGGGUCCUGGGGAUUCAAACUCAGGUCCUCAUGCUUGCACAGCAAGUGCUCUGACCCGCUGACCCAUCUUCCUAGCCCCGUGAUCUUCAAUCAACUCAGCUUAGUGGCAACAUUAAAGCAAGGCUUCCAGACAUGCUGUUGCCUAUGUUUGUAUCUAUAAUGAGGCCAACAUUUGUACUUGACCAUAUCCGGACAUAACAUGAAAAGGUCAAAUGACCUCAUGGCAUGUGUCAUAUAAAAGAAGCUUUUCCAGUAGUUAGAGAAAAGUGAUUGGGAUGACUAAGUCAUCAUACUGUACACUGAGAUGCACGUGCAGUCAGAUUUACAGAGAACCCUACAAGUCCACACUUAUCUCAUUGACAGUCCAGGUUUCUGGAUUGCAGUGGUUAGCAUGCCUGCCUUCUACAUUGUAAACAGCCUUGUAAAGUGGCCCCGCAAGUUGUAGUAAUUGCUUGAUUUUUAAUUUUUCUCUCUGAGACAGGUUUUACUCUGGCUGGCCUAGCACUCACCAGCCUUGGUUGACCUUCCUGAAUGCUAGAAGUGUAGGCAUUUGCCCCUGGGCUCAGCUUAAAUGAAUCUUAGAUUCUAUUGCUUUUUAUUUGCUCCUAAUUUGCAAGUUCUUUUUUAAUGUUUUUAUAAAAGUUUAAAUCUGAGACAUCUACAUUUUGCUUUAUUACACUAAAUAAUAUUACAGCAUAAAACUUACAGUUAAUCCUUUGGGGCCUGAAGAUUUUUCUCUAAAAUUUGAGUCCAAACUUACUCAAGCUCGUAAAACUGCUUUUUAUACCUGUUUGGCAACCAGGCAAGCUGCUCACAGGCUGAGAGGAGGGAGUUAAGGGAUUCACUGGCCCUCUGGCUCUUUCCAAGGACCUUCCUAACUUAGCAGUCAACAAAGACAUUAAAAUGGGGAUGGUGAAUCACAAAACAGAAGCCAAAACCCUGAGUAUGGCAUGAGAGUCUGCAGGGAGAAGGAGCUGACAGCAGUGGGGAGGAGAGCAACUGUGCAUGGAAAAUGUCAGAGAACAGUUAACAAAGAGCAAUCGAAAAGAUGUGAGAAAAAGAGAAAGGGGGAGAGGCUAGAAGAAAGGAAAGAGAGAGAGCAGGCAGGGCCUGCAGGUUAACAGAGAACAGCUGUAGAAAACUCAGCGUCACAGGAUUAAACAGUCAGCUUUUCAGUUAUGCUUACUAGCUGCAGACUAAUCACAAUUUGCUGAUACUCACAAAGAAACAGGGUGACCCAGGAAAAGAACGAAGAGAAUAAAAAUGAAGAAAACCUUAGAUGAAAACGAUAGUUGGAAUGGAAAACAGGAGGAAAUAGUACUUGCUGGACACCAAUCAUCUACGCAUAGGCACCACAGGCCAGGGAUAUGGAAGUGCCACGACAUGGCUGCUUUAUUGGCGGUUUAGUACUGUUUUAAAGAUAAAGAAACUAGGAUGGAAGCCUGAUACAGUGGCCUACACCUUUAAUCCCAGCAACACGGAGGCAGACGCAGGUAGAUCUCAGUAAGUUUGAAGCCAGCCUGGUCUACAUAGGGAAUUCCAGGACAGCCAAACCUACAUAGAGAAACCUUGUGUCAAAUUCCACCCCCUUAAAACAAAACAAAACAAAACAAAAAACUGGGGUUAAAAAGCAAUUACUACAUCACCAUAGAUUUCACAGCUAGGGGGAAGGCAGAGCCAGACCCCGAGGCGCGACCUAAAAUAUUUCUGUUUCUGCACUUCUCUAACCACACAAGAGCUUGGGCAGUGCUGGGCUGCCUAUGCACCGUGAGCACAUUCUCAGUAAAAUGGGCUUUCUCUCUCAUCUCAUGAGCUUCCUAAUCUUAAGAGGGAGAUGUAUGAGUAAGAGAAGGGAUGUACGUGAAGUCCACACUGCUCCUAGCAAAAGCUAGUGUUCAAAUGUUCACUGCUAGGAUUACACAGCAACACGUUCUAGGGCUACACAGCAGAGGCUCAGAGAGAGAUUCCUUUUUACUCUAACGACAGCAAAAGAACUGAAGGAUAGGCCAUGCUGUGCUGGGCUGUGGCUGACUGAAAGCAUCUAAGCAGACAGGGGGAGGGAGAUGUGGGGGGGGCACAAAGCAAAGGAUGGACAGAGCUCUGAACUCCAGGAAAGAGAGCCUCAAAUCACCUAUUAAGUUUGACUUAAUAGUAAAUGUAGCCUACAAGUAAAUGCAGCCCUGUAGGCCAGUGGUUCUCACACUUCCUAACACUGAGACUCUUUGAUAUAGUUUGUCAUUUAUGGUGACCCCAACCAUAAAAUUACUUUUGUUGUCAGUUCAGAUAAUAUAAACAUCUGUUUUACGAUGGUCUUGGGUGACCCCUGUGAAAGAGCCGUUUGACCCCCAAAACCACUGUUUUAGUGGGCUUUUUCUCAUGUAUAAAUGCCUCAGGACCAUCAAUGACAGUUGUUCACUUAAAGGAUGCAAAUGAAAACAAGUUGGUUGGGAUAGGUCAAGAAACAGAGCUGCCGAGAUACAACAAAACCCUAACCUAAGCAUGACUGCACUGAUACCCAGUGAGGGAGUGGUGCGAAGUCACCACCUUGCUUUUACACCCACCAUUCAGAGAACAGAACCAGCAUCAUCAGGGACAAGACAGGUUUAAAGAUGAGGGCUCGAGAAAGAAAGGAUGUAGGCUCAGUCUUAGCCACAUUGAGGGAAUUCCAGAAAACUUCUAAGGCAGAGGUAACUGGAAGCUUUAUGAAGACAGGACGGAAGAGUCAUUUACAGAGUUUAGCUGAAUUUAUGAAAAUGGCAGAGGCAAGCUACAGAGUAAAAGAAGGUCUCUGCAGUCUCAAAGAAAUCAAGGUCACUGAUACUUGAAAAGGAAAAAAUACUUUCCCUAUGAAAUAUGUAAAGCAGAGAAAAAAAGUUAAAUCUCAGUCAAGAAUGAUUGAAGAAAGGGGAUGAGCCAUCAGCCAGGGAGAGAUGCCCCUUGCCCCUUGUCACCUGGGGCAGGCAAGAAAGCUGGCCCUGCCUCUCACUGAAGGCAGCACAGUAGAGCUGGCCCUGGUGGCAUACAAACGGGAAGCCAGUCCUGAGAUCCUGAGAGCUGGAGAGCUGUCUACCCUGUGCUGGCUGCAGCACCGGGUGAGUUAGCCAGGGCAGUGCUGGAGAGCACGCUCUGGUGGUGUGGGUACGGGAGAGAUGGCAGGCUGACCAACUCAGUUACCAUGCAGGCCCACAUCCAGGGCUAUGAAUCAGCCCACCCCAACAUCUACGCCACCGAGGAACUGCUGAAGCACGUGAAGGAGCAGGUCCUGCAGAUCCAUGCAGGAUCUCCAUGACACAGGGAAACAAACAGGUAUCUGAGAGGUGUCCCUGUGAGGAUCCAGUCUUGAUAAUGGAGUUGAAGCCAGACACCUCAAACCAGACGUAUGACUCACUGUAAUGAGCAUUUGUAAGGGAAGAUGUGUGAACAGAAAGGUAUACUGUGGAACUCACUACAGCUUCCACUAUGAGAUUUAUUGUUGUCGCUGUUCUUUUUCCUUUUCUUUUGUGGGGGAGGCUGCAAAGCAGAGGGCGGAUACGAAGGGACAGGAAGAUGAGUGGGAUUGGGAUGCAUGAUUCGAAACUCAAUAAAGUCAAUAAAGAGUUAAAAACAAAAGAACCAGUGAAGAAGAAACAUCUUGUUAUAUGAAGGGGAGAACAGGUAUUUUGUGGGAGACAGGGUCUGUUGCUUAUCUCUGGGAAAUUCUGGCUGGACCAGAACUUACUUUAUAGACUAGGGCAGCCUCAAACUCAUCAAGAUCCACUCACCUCUGCUUCCCAAGAGCUGGGAUUCAGGCUGUGUGCCAUAAUGUCAGGCUGAGAAUAGGUUUUUGUUAGAUCGUAAACCUAAUGAUAAGAUCUCAUUGCGGGAGAUUCAACUGGAGAUCAGCACAAGGUCCUUAAAACUGCUGGAGCGGGAAACACAGUCAGUCAUGGGAGUGCUUGUCUGGCAUGAAGAUCAAACCUGUAAUCUCAGCACUUGGAAGGUGGAGGCAGGAGGGGCAAGCUCUAAGUCAUGCUCAGCUAUACAAGGAGCCAGCCUGGGCUACAUGACCCCCCCCCCCUUUUUUUAAAGGAAGGAAGGAAGGAAGGAAGGAAGAGGGAGGACUUAUAAAUAGUAGUGGGUAUCCCAUUAGAGAGAGAGAAAUGAAAACUGGGAUAGAUACAGCCACCUCACUUUUGUGGCUUCUUAUAACAGACACUAAAAGCAAAGGAAACAGACAGUGGUGGCGUCAGGAAUGGAGAACAGAAUAAUGAAAGCACAAUACAAAAUGUCCGGAGACAAGAAAUUCUAAAGUGUUGGGAAAAGCAAUGCUAAAGAGCCAGGCCAUGAGGUCUACACUGGGAAACGAGGUAAACAAAACUGGAAAGACACUAAAAUGGCUGGGGAAAAAAAAUGGAUCAUAAGGCUCAGACCAACAUGAGGAAGAGAGGUUAGAGAAAGUAAGAGAAAAGAAAGAGGUUAGAAAAAGUAAGUAGAGAAGGACAUGGGGCUAAGAAAGCACUCUGCCAUUUGAGGUGGUGCGGGUCUUAGCAAGAGCAAUGCUGUUAACCAGUCAGCACAGUCCGACGGCGAGGGAGCAGCACAGGUGUGAGGAAGAAGUGGCUCAUAAGCUCAUGUCCUUAGCUAUGGGGACAAAACAGGCAACUAAUAGACUGUGUAACUAAAGCAAUGGAUGAAGGAGAAGCUGCCAGCCAAGGAGCAUGUACUGAUAUAGACUCCAACAAACAGGCUGCUCCAUCUCUGCCCCAGGCCCUUCCAAAAGAGCCUGCCUCAGUGCCUGACAGUGCGGUACAUGUCUCCAGGUACUCAACAACCAACAGGGGAAAGGAGUGCUACCCACUACAAUCACCUCAGCCGUUUCUAGUUAGCAUAACGAACAGUUGUUGAGCACUAGUGAACUUCCAGGCACGGGAGAAGGCAUGGCAACUGACAUUUAUGCAGCUCUUCCAACAGCAAGACGCAAUUCCAGUUUGCACUGGACUCAUGGCUCUAUUGCAAUGAUGCUAAGGAAGAGGUAUUGCCAUGGUCCUCAUCAGAAUUCAGUCAGAGAGGUCAAUGUUAAUGAAUAAAUGCUGAGCCAUUGCACUGGGCUACAAACCAGGCAUUCCAGAGUGAGGCUCUUUGCCACACCCCACUGUCGGUGAGAAGACAGUCCUAUCCACUCAAAGGAACCCACUUCAUAUUUCUAAAUAUUCUAUCCUCUCUAUUUACUAAAUUUAAAAAUACAAAGAACUUCCAUAUUACAUCUGUUCUUAAAAUGCCAAAGCUAUCAAAAUCUAAAACAUCGCCAAACAUACAAGCUCUCUUCUUACCAAACUCUAAUUCUGACCCUAACAUUGGAUCAAAGUUGGCACCUGAAUGUAAGGAGUUACCUAGCAACAGAAGUUCCAUAUGCUUUUAAGAGCACAGAGGCACAGCACUCAGGAAAUAGAGGCAGGAGGAUCUUGAGUUCAAGGCCAGCAUGGGCUACACAGCAACGUCCUGCCACCACCAGCCUGCCAAAAGUACUUGUGAAUUGUGCAAUGACUGUGGAAUGCACAGGAAGGGCCUUGGGCUUGGAGGAUGGGGGCUUGUCCUCAUAUGCUCUACCAAAGAGGUCAGUUCUGAGCCAAGCUGUGAAAAAAGGGCAAAUGGCAUUGGGAGUGGAGGAAGAACAUCACUCAGAAGAAUGUAGAGGCCAGAAAGCUUUAAAGUAUGUUAAGAAAAGUGAGUGCGGGGGCUGGGGAUUUAGCUCAGUGGUAGAGCGCUUACCUAGGAAGCGCAAGGCCCUGGGUUCGGUCCCCAGCUCCGAAAAAAAGAACCAAAAAAAAAAAAAAAAAAAAAAAAAAGUGAGUGCGUAAAAGCACUCCAUGGGUUUGCAUGGAUUCUCCAGCAGAGGCUCUAAGGCUGAACACACACCAGACUCUUGGAUGUCAGUCUUGCCAGGCAAGCCGGAAAUCUUGUCUGCCCCAUUCAACACAACUAAAUGUAAAACAGCUACCUUCUAACUGGACCACAAGCCUGUCCAAAGUAUGCAGUGUAAUUUAUGCAACUAUGUAAACUAAAAAGAAACUGGUAACAAUCAUGAAACUGCUUUUAAAAGCACACGGCAGAAUGAUCUACAAACCCCUUCAACUCCUAUUCAUUGUCUCUAUCCCUUAAUAACCGCAUCAUCAAUGCUGUUUUCUAAGCCUCUGCUUGAACUCUCAGCAUGUAGUAGUAAGGCCCGAGAUGAACCUUACCAAGUCAAGGCAAUUUCUGGUGUAAGACAGAGUAAAAAAAAAAGGGGUGUGUGUGUCAUAAAGCACCAGUUUUCUACAAUUCAAGCCUAAAAAUAAAACAAACUCCUCUAACUGCCACAAGCCCCUGAGAGGUAGGCAUAAGCAAGCACUUUCUCUACGCUGUAGAGGCAUGUGCUGCUUCCGGUACUCACCCUGUUCUGUUUCCUAUUCCGAAGUCACUAGAGCAGGGACUGGGUGGAGACAUCUUCUAUCCCAUUAGCACUGUGCUUCCCAUGACUAAGACAUCCUGAUUGGCUACCAUCAGACGCAUGACCGCAGUUAAAGUGAAAAGCACUCUAUUAAUUUUUUUUUAAAGACAGGAUCUCAGACUGUAGUUUAAGGCUGGCCUUAAACUCUCAGUGAUGCUCCUGGCUCAGCCUCCUGAACGCUGUCACCAUCAGCCACUGUACGUGUCACUGUUACUGACUAUGGACCUAGACUUCCUACAACAUGAGGCUGAAAACCACUGCCACCAGUCUCACUGCCACAAAGGGAAGACUCUCCUGGAAAUAAGCUCUACUCGGAAUAAAGAGAAUCCACAAACAGAUGGAAGUCUGAGGCCAGCUAAGUACAGAUUUCAUACCUAGUUGGAUUUUUUUGUUUUUUGUGGCCUAUUUUGUGGUGAGUCCACUUUUACUUUUUUCCUAAUUGUUAUUAACCAUGUGUAUGUGGUAAUAGCCAAAUUCUAUUAACAAGAAAAUUUCAAGGUAAACUCUUAGCACCUAUUAAUAAUUAUGUCUAACUUUAUAAUCUGGUUUUAUUGAUAGUCCAAUAUUGAUACAAAAUAUUUAGAAAUGAUUCUGGCACAUUUUAACAUAGCAUUUCACAUUCAAAACUGUGUUAUAUAUCUUCAUUCCUUUUUUUUUAAGAAAAAUCAGUAUUUUUGCCUUACAGAAAACAGAAAAAAUAAAUGCCUAUAACUGUAUUAUGUAAGGUAAGAAUAAUCAACUCAGAAAUUAAGAGUUCUUAUUGUAUUAUAUCAAUUAUUUAAAAAACAACAACCCCUUCUCCCACAAAAGAAAACCACAAACACCAUGGAAAGCCUCUUACUUGAAGCUGAAGAGUAUGGCGAAGAAUGGUUUCUUCUAAGGCAUGGAUCCACUUCUCUCGCUCAUCUGCAUCUCGAGCUAGAACAAAACAUUAGAGGUCAAUGUGUGGUUUACUUUACAGGCUCAUCUUAAGGAAACAUCAAAUUACAAAAUAACAAUUCUAACAAAAGGAAUAUCCAUGUUUAAUAGUAGGUAGAUUACUUAUGGGGAGCAUUCUCAUGGGGAGCAACCAAAAAAGUUGGACUAUUAUUUUUUAAUUGCUUCAUUACAGAUGAAGGUUUUAAAAUGUGACACAUUGGAAUACCAUUCAGAAUACACAGUGGAAUACCAUUCAGUCACUAACAAAAAUAAAAACCAUUAUUGUUGCAACACAGAUGGAAUGCAUGCAAUAAGCCAGGCAUAGUAGACACAUAAGCACUAUAUGACCGAUCGCUCUUGUAGGCGCCCAACAGUGGAAGUAGGGUACAUAGAGUCAAGGGGGAGGAGGAAAGAUGGAGAAAGGGCAGAUCCAGAGAUACUAAGUUACAUUAGCCAAAAGCAAGCAGCUCUAGUGAGCUGUUGUAGUGCUGGUUUACUGUCAAUACCAAUAGCUAAAAGAAAGAACUUUGAAAGCUUUUACCAUGGAGAAGUGAUUAUGUUUGCAAAAAUAGGAAUGCUCAGCUGAUUUAAAAUAACACCAUGUAUAUAUGCAUCAAGGCAUACGCAGGAUCUUAAGUUUUUAUUAUCAGUUAAAAAUGAAUGUAACUAAGACAAACUUCUAUUAAAAAAGGGAAGAAGAAAGAAGGAAGGAAGGAAAGAAAGAAAGAAAGAAAGGAAAGAAGGAAAGAAGGAAGGAAGGAAGGAAGGAAGGAAGGAAGGAAGGAAGGAAGGAAGGAAGGAAGGAAGGAAGCCAGCCAGGCAGUGGUAGUAGCACAUGCCUUUAAUCCCAGCACUCAGAGGUAAAGGCAGGCAGACCUCUGAGCCAGCCUGACCUGUAGAGGGAGUUCCAGAACAGCCAGAGCUAUAUGGAGAAUCCCUGUCAUAAAAAAGCAAAACAAACAAACAAACAAAAAAUCAGAAAGAAAGAUGUAAAGAAAGACAGAAGAGAGGAAAGACAGACAGACAGAAGACAGUUACCAUAAACCAAAGUAGUAAAGAAUUACUGGUGAGUAUUUUGUGAAGGGCAAGCAUCUGGAGGAGAGGCCUAGUAUUUAGGGAUGUUCCUUGCUGGCAGCAUUAUAAAUUCCUAAGGAGGAGUUGUGUACUGGAUGACGCACUUAAGAUCUGUCAGUGUGUGUGCCAAGGGUAUUGGGAACUCUGUUUUCUGGUCAAAUUUGAGAUUGAACCUAAAAGUCUUUUUAAGAGAAAAGUUGAAGACCAGGGCUCACUAGCAAAGUGGUUCUCAACCUGUGGGGUGUGACCCCUUUGGGGGUUGAAUGACUCAUAGAGGUCACCUAAGACCAUUGGAAAAUGAUUCAAAACAAAAGCAAAAUUACAGUUAUACAGUGGCAACAAAAACAAUUUUCUAGUUGGGGGAUACCACAUGAGGAACUGUAUUAAAGGGGUCAUAGUAUUAGGAAGAUUGAGAACCACUGCAUUAGCAAAAGGGACUUUGGUAAAUUAAGCUGUCUUGAUUGGAAUCCCAAAAGGGCUUCACUGUGGAACUAAGGAUAAAUCAUAAUUGAAACAACUGCUUGGUCAUCUGUGUAGGCCAGGAAGAUCUUAAUACCUGAAGUAGACCAAGGAGCCCCCAUAUUGAUUAGUGACUCUGCAUGUGGCUGGCAAAGUGGAUGAAAGAGGUCCUCCUCAGGUUCUGACUGUUCUUUUUUUUUCUUUUCUUUUCUUUUCCUCCCUUCCUCCCUCCCUUUUCUGGGAUAGAGUUUCUCUGUGUAGCCCUUGCUGUUCUGGAACUCACUCUGUAGACCAGUCUGGCACUGAAUUCAGAGAUCCGCCUGUCUCUGCCUUCUGAGUGCUGGGAUUAAAGGCAUGUGUCAUCACUGCCUGGUACUGGUAUUUCUCUAAACAAUGUUUAAAUAUAGUCCAGCACACAUGUAAAUAUAAUCUAAUAUACAUAUAGAGGUGCCUCUGCAGACGAAGUCACACAUAACUGAACACCAAGACUAACAGGGACUCCAGAUUAGUUUAGAAGCAACCAAGCAGUAUUUUUAAAUUUUACUUAUUUAUUACUAUAUAAUUGUAUGGCCGGCAUACAGGAGAAUUUUGUUCUCCUGCCUCUCCUGGAUUCUAAGGACUACAUUCAGGAAGUGCUGAGCCAUCUAUUUGGCUCCUCGUUUUAUUUUCAAAUAAUCAAAUAUGAAUUCUCAAAUUACAAUAAAUUUUAAAUACAUACAAUAAUCAAAAUUAAGAACUUGGCAGAUGAGUUCUAACAGCAAUUAGAGACAUGGAAGAGAUGAUAAGAAACAGCAAUGGUGGUGGCCAGUCAAGGGAUAUGAAGUACUAAGAGGGCUGGAGAGAUGAGUCGGAUGUUAGGGAGCCUGCUGCUCUUCCAAAGGACUCACGUCCUGUUCCCAGGGCCCACACUGGGCAACUCACAACCUCCUGCAACACACACACACACACACACACACACACACACAUUUUAAAGUACAGAUAAAAGGGUUUAAAAAAAUAAAGGCAAGAAAAUGUAAUGUGACCAUGACCGGGGGAGACAGAGAACAAUGUGAAGCUCCCCGAGGAGAGAGGAACACAGGAAUUAGAAAUGGUCAUGGAAAAGGCAAAGGGCCCAUCACUCCCCGGGGCUUGGUGCAUUCCUAGGUGGCGGCGCCUGCAAAGGACGGGAUACUUCCAUUUGCUAAGAACCCUCAUGAACAAGGUUAGGAGACAUGUUUACAGUCAACACACGUCAUGACUCUCGGUAACCACUACUGUAUGCGUUCUUCUGACGAAAUCUUACCACAAUUACAAAUCAUGCUGACACGCAAGAUGUCUUAUCGCCUAUGACCCAUGUCGUAAGAAUUCCUGACCUUUCUUAGCUAUACUUUAAUCAGCACACCUCAUCUGUAAGCCCCUACGGUGCACUUCAUAAAUCACUUUACAUGCUUUCGUUUACCACAGGUAAAAAUAUACUGAAACAGUUUAAUCUUUUAGACAUAGCUAUAGUUCCAAACCCACAAAAGUCAUACACACAGCUGCUGCUAAGAAACCUUCCUCAUUUCUCUCAAGAAAUCUGAGCUUCCUCUUAAGUCUGUAUAGUACCCCCAAAACACACAUGCGUGCGCACACAUACACUCAUUCACACACACACACACACACACACACACACACACACAGCCUGUUUGUAAUAAACCGCACCCUUGCUUCCUACUGACUGACUUUCUUUCUGAGACUUGAAUCAAAAUUUUGACUUCACUUAGCGGAGGUUCCUAAAGGACACCCUCCCACCCCAGGGAUCAUGGCUGGCAAUUUCAAGUUGCACUGCUCACUGCUGGUGACACUACCUGGCUGAGAAUUUUCAGAAAUUGAUGAAAGGCAUUAAGCCACAGAUUUCAGAAGCCUUCAGAAUCCAGGGAAUAGAGUAACACAGAUCUUUCUGAAGAGAGAGUACGGAGAGUACACCAAAUCAGAAGUCAUAGGAAGUGGUCCUGAGAGAGCAUGGGCAGUUACCAGCCCUCACUGCGGAGCCUGCCCACAACCUAAGCCCAGCUGUAAUCGAGUAUGCUCACUCGCUCUGAAGAGCUGCUCUUCCCCAGGCAGCUGCUCACAGACUUCCCUGCGGAGCCCACCUCCCUCCUGGAGGCCGCAGAGAUCUGCUCACUUGCCAGCCUUAUGGUACUUUUCCAUCAAACUCCAAUAAAACUGUCCUCAAGUUUCAAAAAGAAAAUAUGGGGCUAAAGGUGCAGCUCAGUUGAUAGACAAUGUUUUCCCAAAAGGCCAAGUCCAACGAUCCCAGCAUACAGGGGAUAGAGUCAGGAGGAUUCAAGUUCAAGGUUAUCGUUUGUUACUGAAGCAAGAACAAACGAACUGUAAGAGUUUAGAGACCAGAAAUAGCCCCACUGCGUACGCAGACACUUGAUGUGAGACAAAUGUGCAUUAACAUGCAGUAAGGAACAACUCUUUAGUAAAUGGUACUAGAAAAUUAUGAAGAAAAUGAAAUCUGACCCUACCUGGCACUAUACAUAAAUCACACCCAAAUGUUUCCCUUAGUUUGUAAUUUGAAAGAAAAAAUAAAAUUUGAAGUGAAAGAGACUUUGUAUUUUGAUAUAGAAAAAAAAUAGCUCCUAAAGGGGACACAAAACCAUUAAUUACAAAGAAAAACUGGCAAAAACCUGUGUGUGUGUGUGUGUGUGUGUGUGUGUGUGUGUGUGUGUGUGUGUGUGUACACUCAAAAAGGCUCUGGAAGUAAGAAGAUGAGAGGUAAAUUUUAUAGAUGUUUUAUUUUUAGACAUUCAGUUCAUCUCGAAAUACUCUUCUCUAACAUUCACCAUGUCUCCUCAUGCAUGAUGGAGCCUGUUUUACAUCCUCUAAGCCAGGAAGUUUCAAUUUUUGUCUCUGGUUCUCAAUGAGGGACAUAUUUAUAACAUGUCCUGGUUAACAUAUACAAGUGUAUAGAUACAUAUGUACAUAUAAAACCAGAACAUUAGAUUCAUAAAAUAAGACUUGCUUCUUACAAUAUAUUAUUGGAACUCAUUCUCCCCUUCCCUCUCCCCCUCCCUCGCUUCCCUUCUCCCCACUCCCUCCCAUGGAACUCACUAUAUCGACUAGGCUGGCUUGAAACUGGUAGGAACUCCUCCCUGCCUUCCCCAAAUACAGGUAUACAAUACAAAACCCAGCAUAUUGUCCCUUUAAAUUUCACUUUUUGAAAAAAAAAAAAAAGGAUGAUAGGGAACAAGACUGAGGAGACAUACGUCCUAAAAGGAAAAAAAAAAAAAAGAUUACACCCUUCAUAAUAGACCCAAAUAAUAUAAAGUACCUCGGAGUGACUUUAACAAAGCAAGUAAAAGAUCUGUACAAUAAGAACUUCAAGACACUGAAGAAGGAAAUUGAAGAAGACCUCAGAAGAUGGAAAGAUCUCCCAUGCUCAUGGAUUGGCAGGAUUAAUAUAGUAAAAAUGGCCAUUUUACCAAAAGCAAUCUACAGAUUCAA
Molecule: long non-coding RNA, 21034 nt
Organism: Rattus norvegicus (Norway rat)
Lineage: Eukaryota; Metazoa; Chordata; Mammalia; Rodentia; Muridae
Source: RefSeq, a predicted model, not a curated record